This 283-nucleotide unclassified non-coding RNA is filed under the name Ascomycota sp. RNAcentral describes it as "partial contains small subunit ribosomal RNA, internal transcribed spacer 1, and 5.8S ribosomal RNA". The stretch from base 1 to 47 matches the Rfam family "Eukaryotic small subunit ribosomal RNA", at positions 1785 to 1831 of the family's 1831-position model. Lineage: Eukaryota; Fungi; Ascomycota. The record is from RNAcentral.
AAAGUCGUAACAAGGUUUCCGUAGGUGAACCUGCGGAAGGAUCAUUACCGAGUAAGGGUGCCCUUCAAGGCGCCCGACCUCCAACCCUUUGUAUACUUGACCAGAUGUUGCUUCGGCAGGCCCGCCUCUCUAGCUUUACGGUCAAAGAGGCCGCCGGGGGUCCUUACCGGCCCCGGGUCCGUGCCUGUCGAUGGCCCUUCUCAAAACUCUUGCUAUAAACGUGUCGUCUGAGUUUUAAACAAAAAAUAAAACAAAACUUUCAACAACGGAUCUCUUGGUUCUG